RNAcentral lists this long non-coding RNA (199 nucleotides) under Ananas comosus (pineapple). Its description in RNAcentral is "long non-coding RNA (ACOM_LNC000597)". Lineage: Eukaryota; Viridiplantae; Streptophyta; Magnoliopsida; Poales; Bromeliaceae. The record is from RNAcentral.
GGUAGCCUUCAGAGGCUGGUGUACCGGUACGGGGUGAUGGCUCUACCGGUACAGCCAUCAACUGUAGCAUUGUCUCAGCCGACCCGAGGCUCGGGUUCGGUGUUUUCGUGGGAGGUGUACCGGUACGCGGGCCCGUGUACCGGUACGCAGAGGCAUUUUUUUUGAGCAGUCCGAACUGUAGGGGGUUUUUCGCGAUUGU